This 440-nucleotide ribosomal RNA is filed under the name uncultured bacterium. RNAcentral describes it as "partial 16S ribosomal RNA". It matches the Rfam family "Bacterial small subunit ribosomal RNA", at positions 338 to 795 of the family's 1533-position model. The record is from RNAcentral.
CCUACGGGAGGCAGCAGUGGGGGAUAUUGCACAAUGGGGGAAACCCUGAUGCAGCGACGCCGCGUGUGGGAAGACGGUCCUCUGGUUUGUAAACCACUUUCUCCAGGGACGAAGAUGACGGUAUCUGGGGAGGAAGCUCCGGCAAACUACGUGCCAGCAGCCGCGGUAAUACGUAGGGAGCGAGCGUUUUCCGGAGUUACGGGGUGUAAGGGGAGCGUAGGGGGGGAGGCAGGUUGCGUGUAAAAACUACCGGCUCAACUGGUAGUCGCUCUCGAAACUGCAGCUCUUGAGUGAAGUAGAGGCAGGCGGAAUUCCUAGUGUAGCGGUGAAAUGCGUAGAUAUUAGGAGGAACACCAGUGGCGAAGGCGGCCUGCUGGGCUUUUACUGACGCUGAGGCUCGAAAGUGUGGGGAGCAAACAGGAUUAGAUACCCCUGUAGUC